UUAAAAAAAAAAAAAGAAUUAGGCGAUUCUCGCAAACAAGCUAUGGCGAGGUUUCUUAAUCUUGAGAAAAGGUUCGCUACAAAUAACGAGUUAAAACAACAAUAUGUGCAAUUUAUGAAAGAAUAUUCAGAAAUGGGCCACAUGGAAAAAGUAAGUGAAAAUAAAUGCGGAAAAUACUAUUUGCCACUUCAAGCAGUGAUUCGAGAAGACAGUAGAACGACUAAACUACGAGUAGUUUUCGAUGCGUCUGCAAAAACUACAAAUGGAAGUAGUUUAAAUGACAUCCUCUUCAUAGGACCGAGACUUCAAAGAGAUAUAUUUGACAUUAUAAUCAAAUGGAGACUUUGGCAAUAUGUAUUAACUAGUGAUAUUGAAAAGAUGUUUCGACAAAUUAAAAUAACAGAUAGUGAUCAAGAUUACCAACGUAUAUUGUGGAGAGAAACAAAAGGAGAGCCGAUAGAAGAAUACAAACUACAAACAGUUACAUAUGGGACAGCAUCAGCUCCUUUUUUGGCAACGAGAACUUUACAAGAAAUUGCCAAACUAUGCGAGCCCCACAACUAUUUGCUUUCAAACAUCAUUAAAAACGACUUCUACAUGGACGAUUUAAUGACAGGAGCAGAUUCAAUAGAUGAAUGUAAGGCCAUUCAGUAUGAAAUAUCGAAACAACUACAAAAAUAUGGAUUUCACUUAAGGAAGUGGAUGUCAAACAACAGUGAAAUCAUAGCAACAAUUCCGGUAAAUAACGCGAAUGAAGUAAUAAAAAUAGCAGAAGACGAAACAAUAAAGACAUUGGGUAUUCAAUGGGAUCCUACCAAAGACAUGUUUGGAUUUAAUACGAAUCUUUCAACGCAAAAGCUGGUUACAAAAAGACAAGCUUUGUCUGAUUUAGUGCGAAUUUUCGACCCAAUGGGAUGGCUUUCACCAACAACCGUUAUAGCAAAGUUAUUUAUACAGAAACUUUGGUUGAUGAAACUCAACUGGGACGAGUUACUUGACGAGAAUUUAACAAAAGAAUGGCAAGAGUUUAUGCAGCAUAUACCAGAGAUAAAACGAAUAAAAAUUCCUAGAUGGUUUGAAACUAAAAACAACUUUAAAUUUGAACUACAUGGAUUCGCAGAUGCUUCAGAGAAAGCUUAUGCAGCAGUUGUAUAUACUAAAGUUGGAUCAGUUAUAACAAUUGUUGCUGGUAAAACUAAAGUGAAUCCAAUUAAAAAUAAGAAAACGUUACCAAAACUGGAACUAUGCGCGGCUCACCUACUUGCUAAAUUGCUGCAAAGGAUAAAAACAGUCAUCAACAGAGAAAUGAAAAUAUUUGCUUGGAGCGAUUCAACUAUAACGUUAGCAUGGAUAAAUAAUUGCCAAAGUAAAGACAGAUUUAUUAGAACACGAAUAGAAGAAAUCAAAUUACUUGUUUCCAAUGCGACAUGGCAACACGUUGGAACAAAGGACAAUCCAGCUGAUGUAGCAACCAGAGGGGUACUGGCGAACAAACUAAUAGAACACGAUCUAUGGUGGAAGGGACCAAAAUGGUUGCGAGAAGAGGAACAUCAUUGGCCAAUAAAGAAGAUUAUUCAAAUCGAUGCAACGUAUGUGACAACCUCAGGGGAAUUACAUUUCUUGGAUAAGGUAACACUUAAAUAUUCUAGUUUAAGCAAAUUAAUAAGGGUAGUAGCUUAUAUUUUGCGAUUUGUAAAAAGAAUAAGAGGGAAAAAAUGCCCUGAAUACUUAGUUAAAUCUGAAAUGAAGGAAGCUGAAGAAAUGUUAAUAAGAUAUCAGCAAAAAUUACAAUUUAGAGAGGAAAUUCAGAGUUUAGAAAUAAAAAAAGAAAUUAAUCAUAAAAGUAGCAUUGCAAGCUUAAAUCCAAUUUUGGAUAAUAAGGGAAUCCUUCGUGAGGUAGAUUGGGUAAUUCAAAUCUUCAAUUUAAUCAAAAGCACCCAAUAAUAUUAAAUAAGUCACAUUUGUCAUCAUUGAUAAUUGAAAAUAUUCAUAAAAUAACUUUACAUGGAGGAAACAAGUUAAUGGAAUCAAUGAUUAGAAGGAAUUACUGGAUUGUUGGAUUGAGGAAUUCUAUUAAAAAGACAAUUCGAACUUGUAGUAGAUGCGUACGUUACCGCAAAGAAGUAGCAAAACAAUUAAUGGGAAAUCUUCCAGAAUUCCGAGUAUCUAUUUCAAUUCCAUUUAUACACGUUGGUAUAGACUAUGCAGGACCGAUUCAUAUGAAAUGUUCAAAAGGACGAGGACAAAAAACAUUUAGAGGAUAUAUAGCUGUAUUUGUUUGUAUGGCAACAAAAGCUAUUCAUUUAGAAGCAGUAAGUGAUUUAACAACCGAAGCGUUCCUAGCUGCUUUGAAAAGAUUUUUUGCUAGAAGAGGUAAAAGUCAACAUAUAUAUUCGGACAAUGGAACAAAUUUUGUCGGAGCUUGUAGAAGAUUAGACCGAGAUUUUAAAAUGGCAAUAAAAAAUAAUUCAGCCGUAGCUCCCAUAUUAGAAGCAGAUAAAAUUCAAUGGCAUUUCGGGCCCCCGGCAGCUCCUCACUUCGGAGGAAUUUGGGAGGCAGGAGUGAAGUCGGUGAAAUAUCAUUUAAAAAGAGUGAUAGGCGAAACUAAAUUGACAUUUGAAGAAAUGAUUACUUUGCUAUCACAGAUUGAAGCAAUACUGAAUUCACGACCUUUAUGUGCGAUAGAUAGUGAAAGCGAUAUAGACGUUUUAACGCCUGGCCAUUUUUUAAUAGGAUGUCCAAUAAUAGAUUGUCCUGAAGCAAUUAAUGAUAACCAAAUAGGUUCAUUAGAUAGAUGGAAAUUAAUACAAAAACUUAAAAAAGACUUUUGGAAACGAUGGGAAAGCGAAUAUGUUGUAAUGUUGCAACAACGCAUGGAAAACCAAACAAGCUAAUCUCGUACAAGGACAAAUAGUUAUUAUUAAAGAUGAAGAAACUCAUCCAGCCAAAUGGCCAUUAGGAAAAAUUAUUGAAACUCAUCCGGGAAAGGAUGGAAAUAUAAGAGUUGUAACUCUAAAAUUACAAAAUGGCAUACUUAAACGGCCCGUUUACAAAUUAUGCCCACUGGAGGUAACAAACAGCAGUAGAGCAGAGGAAGCAAAUCAUGUGACAAGUUUGCUGACUUCGAGAAUAACAAAAAAUACUGCAACCUCAGAACGACCGAGUAAAUCAAGCAAAUUGAUGAUGUGGUUCUUAACGAUACUCAUGCUAGCAACACAAACUAAGUCACUAUACAUUAAUAAUACAUCUAAAUCAGGAGCUUCAGUGACUAAACUAAAAAAUAAUACAGCAAUAUAUUUGGAACCGAUUAGUAAAAUGGACAUAAUAAAUUCAAAAUGGAAUUUAAUAGUCUAUUACGAAUUAGGUACUUAUUAUGAUCGGAUGCAUAAAAUACAAGAAUUUAUUAACAGACUUGAAAAUCAAUGCAAAAUAUUGACCUAUUACGAAGAUGCCUGCAUAAUGAUUACUGCAACUUUAAAUGACAAAUAUAAUAGUCUUAAAGCAAAUAAUGAAUUGUUUAUGAAAAAACAAAAUAGAAAAAAGCGAGCACCAUUCGAAUUCGUUGGUUCAAUUUACCAUAUAUUAUUCGGAAUUAUGGAUGCUGAUGACCGAGAAAAUAUGGAAUCAAAUAUUAGAAAUAUUUUCGACAACCAAAAAGAUAUAGCAAAAUUGUUUAAAAGGCAGACAUCGGUAGUUGAUUCUACCAUACAUAUAUUAAAAAAGACAACAGAUGAAGUUAACCGUAAUUUUGAGAAAAUGAGUCAACAACUAAAUAAAUUUUAUAACGAACUAAUAAAAGAUCAAAAUGCUGAACGAAUGACCUUGAUGUUUCAAAUAUUAACCAUUUCAAUAGGAAUAGUUAUGGACGAAUGUGAAGAAAUCCAAACUUCAAUAAUUAAUCUUCUAAUUGACAUAAAUCAUGGUCGCAUAAAUCCAAAACUAUUAAAGCCUUCGCAACUUAAUAAAGAAAUUGAAUUUAUUAGAAACAAACUACCACACAAAUUAAUACUACCUGGAAGACAAUCGGGUAACAAAUUAAAAGAAAUUUAUAAAUCGAUGACUGCUAAAGGUUUAAUUGUUGAUUCACGGGUAGUCAUAAACCUAGAAAUUCCCUUAAUAUCGUAUGAACCGUCAAACGUAUAUAAAUUAAAUCCACUUCCAAUAAAUUACAAAGGGAAUAUGAUUAUUCCAGAAAUAAAGGCAGAAUAUUUAAUAUACAAGUUUGAUUUGAAUCAAUAUUCACUUAUAAACCAAGUAGAUCUAGAUAAAUGUUCUACUAACUCAGAGAAUCAUUACCAAUGUCCUGGAAAUUUAGCUUGGAAAUCAGCGACGGAUAAUUCAUGUGAAGUAGCAGCUUUAAAACAAUUAGAAAAUGAAGCAUGUGAUUUCAAACCUUCUACAAAUGAAAACGUUUGGAUAAAAUUAUCUUCUCAAAAUCGGUGGCUUUACAAAUUAUUUAGCAAAGCAAUGAUAUAUCUAGAAUGUGAUAAUAAUCAACAAAUGCAUAUAGAAAUCCCUAGUCAAGGCGUUAUGAUAAUAAGAGAAGGAUGCACAGUCCGGCAUGAAGGAGUAACUGUAACAGCAUCUCAUCACAUACAAUCUGAAAUUAAAAAAGAAUUGCUAUCCUCUUCUUGGGUUAAAGAUAUUGAAGAUAUUCCAGAACUACAAAUAAAACCUUUUGAUUCAACAUUAAUAAACAAUACCAAAGAUAUCGUACAUCUUAAACAACAAAUAGAACUCCUCAAAACAGAAAAUAUAAAAUUAAAAGGUAUAAAUUUUCAUCACGUAAGUGGUCACGUUUCGCUAACAUUAGUUUUGAUAAUAGCAUUAAUCAUUACUAUUUUAUAUAUAAGAUCCAAAUGUGUAACGAGAACUGUGACUGUUCCAUUUGAACUUCCAGUUAGACAUAAUUAAAAAAUAUUAAUAAUAAAACAUAAUAUACAAGUAAAGUUAAGAUACAACUUUGGCCCCUGGCAGAAUGUUCAUAAAGAUAUGAACAUGAAAGUUUUGUAACCUUAAGAUAUAAUUAUAUAUACAAAAUUAUAUUUUUGACACAACUACAUUAAUACAUAAAAAUAUACAUGUAAACAAUAAAUUAAAUAAAAAGUAUAUACAGUCCACUAAAUGUCAAGUGCAAUGGUAAGCAACAAAAAUGUAAUAUGAGACUUGCUCAUAAAAAUGUGAAAAUCAUUGCACAUAAAAGAAAACUCAUAAAUUAGAGUAUACAUAAUACUAAUAUUAAAAUACAAAAUAUACAUACUCGAAAUAUUAAUGCACACAAGCAACAGAUAAGAAAGUAUCAAGCGUGUGUACGUAUGUGUAUAAGUGCGUUAGAUGCACUAAUCUAAAAAACUAUAAAAUAUCAAUGCGUUGGUAUCUGAAAAAUGCAAUAAAAAUAUAAUACAUAUUUACAAAUGUGUAUGCACACUAAGCAUACACACAUAUACAUAUAUACAUAGUUAAGAAAUUAGAAUUAAGAAAUGUAUUGAGGGAAGAAAUUUUAAUAAAGAAAACCAGAGUCAAAAGUGAACUCUCACAGUACAGACUUUGGCAAAGACUGUCUUAAUCUGUACAUUGAUUCUUAUGUAAAAUUGAACGAGGAAUCGAAUGGAAAAUUUUCAAAAAAAGUUGCUGGAAAAGCACAAAACCCUUGUUUUUGUAUUUUGAAUUUUUUUUUUUUGAUUUUGAAAAUAUUUUUAUCAGAAAGCUGAGAGUUUUUUACAUAAAAUCAUAUAACUUCAAAAUUUUUUGCACUCAAUUUUCAGGUCGUUAAAAAGUAAAAGAAAUGGUAACGUUUUGUUUGAUCGGAAUACGGGUACAAAACCAUGUCGCCAAUUGAUGGAAUGGCCCGUAUACAUUAGCUCAACCGACAAAUACUCAAAAUUUUGCCACUUUAGACAAAUACCUUCAAGAAAAGAUACAUACAAAUACGUCGACGAGAUACUUUCACAAACAUACCCAAUAGCAAAAUUUUUAAUCAUUGAUAACGACUUAACAUUUACCAGCAUCUGUGCACAAUAAAUUUAUUAACGACUAAAAAUAACGCACACCAAAGCGCCAGCGUUCCAUUCUACUACAAAUGGACAACUUGAGCGUACACACAGUACAAUUAUUGAACUCGCGAAAGUUUUGGCUGAUCAGAAUAAUUCAGCGCCGGAAGAUCAAAUUUUUGAAGCUGUUCGGCAGUACAACAAAAGCUUUCAUUUCGUAACCAGCGAGGAACCCGAUCACGUAUUUUUUAAUCAAAGGGGUUAUCCCGACAUCCAAGAACGGCCAGGAAAGAGUUUUGCGACAUCAUAAUCGCAAUCGACAUCAUCUGGCCUAUAAUCAAGGAGACGUGAUAUUUUCGAAAACGCACAGGCGUUAUAAAAACGUAAGGAAAUACGCGAAAUAUAUUGUAAAAAAAAGACAACGGUAUGACAGUGACGACCGAUAAAGGACGGAUUAUUCAUAAAGAUAACAUUAGAGUAAAGGCAUGUACAGAAUAAUUGAAACUCUCGAUCCGAAAGCAAUAAAUGAGAACUUAAUCAUAGCAGAGAUUUAUAAUUAAUUUUUAACAGUAACAAGUACUUUUAUUUUUGCAAAAAACGAAAAAUUUUUACUCUGGCAAACUUAAUUCGAACGAUGUGCAUGAAUUAAUAAACCACGAGGAGUUGGAUCUUCCACUAAUUAAUAUAUUGGAAUAUUCUGAUAUACAUAUGUAUUUGUUACCUAGAACAGGCUAUAAUUACAAUUUACAAAUACCCAAUACUCGAAACUUAAUGUAGAUUAUUUAAUGUAUAUCCUUCAUCACAAAAGCAUGGUAAAAUUAAUUUAGAUCCUAAGAUAGCAAAAUGCAAUAAUUAUCAAAGAGCUUCAAAAUGUAAGAAUUUUUUCAGUAAUUUUAUUUGUAAAUUAGAACCCUCUGAUAAUUGUACUAUCAAAAUAUUAAACGAUAAAUCAGCACAAUGUGAAACAAUCCAUGAUAAUAACGCUCCACUCCAAUUCUUAGAAACCGGUCACAUCUUGACAGAUUAUGAGCAUUCUGAGAGUAAUAUGCCUAUAUCUGGUCGCUGAGUUAUUUGAGAUCGAAAUGAACCGUUUAGAACAACAGCAAUUAGCAACAAAGUAGCUAGGGCGCUCUAUUUUAAGAAGUAGGGGAGUUAGCGACGCCGAAAAUAGCCUAAAUAAAUAUCGCAUUUAACCUAAACAAACAUGAAAAUUCCCGAAUCCAAAGUGCAGCAGACAAAAUGCGAUAAGAGAUAGAUAAGUGUAACAAAAGUAUAAAUAGCUGUAAGAUUGUAAAAAGUAAGCAGUAAAGAAAUAUCAAUAAAACAGGCAACACGAAAAUAAAUGCACUGCCCAAAAAUAAUAUCUUUUACUCAAAACAAACUAACUGUUUGUUAACUAGCGCAUUGCGAUCGAUUUCCAUGACAGCCUGUUCAACGAUACCGGAAUUGACCCGGAUUUUAUCCGGCCAAGGAUUGUCAUUUCGACGAUCUAACCUCGCUUGGAUCGGUAUAUAACAUGUUAACAUUGUCAUCAUUAGAGCAACACCUAGCAGUAGGGUUGCACCGUAUUCACCUGAUUCGCACUGGUAUUGAGUUCAACCCAGACCCGGAGGAAAUUUCUGCUGCGUUUACUCAACAAGGCUUCACCAUAACUACAUUUCAAUUAGAUGCAAAACACGCAGUGGUUGAAGCCAUCGUCAGAACUGCUCUAGCUAUCAUACUCAUAGGGAGUGGUCCACUCGUUAUGUGGCUCCAUGCUGCCAACGCACCAAUGCGGCCAAUACCUCAACGGCUGUGCAAGAUGCACCCACUUUGCGCAAUACCCCGUUACUCCAACCUAGUGACCGACAAGGAACCUCUACGGUCCAAAGGAGCUCUCAUAUGGUGACGCAAUCUUUGGUACUCCUGCCUAUCAAACAUUCGUAGGGGGAUGCUGGAGCUGCCGGAACAGAUAGACGAUCAACCUGGCACCAUUCAACAAUAAUAUAAAUGGCGUUACUGAUCCUGGUAUUAGGCGAACGGAGUUGGUGGAAAAUGGAUUGCUUCCAUCAGUGUUUUUGGGUAAUGCAAACUGCGCAGCAAACAUGGUGGGGCAUGGACGAUGACACCAUCUGAUGAGUCGGCCUUAGGAGUUUUCGAGAGAAAUUUUCUGCGAAAGAUUUAUUAUCAUUUCGCGUUGGCCACGGCGAAUAUCGCAUUCGAUGGAACGAAGGCAGCGGCUGCGCUGGCUAGGUUAUGUCGUACAUAUGGACGUAAACACCACCACCUUGCGAAAGAAGGAACGACUGGUGCGCUGAUGUUAACUCGGCUAUAAUCGCGUAAGCGGUGUCUACGCCAGUAAAGAUUUGACAACGAGGAAGUUGCAACAAGUACUUUGAAGGUGCUAGUGAGAGUCCGGCUGGACAUGGAAGGAGAAAAAAAGAGAAAAAAGAAGUAAUUUCUGUGAAGCCAAGUUCUUCGAGAGAUGCAGAAAGUUCAAACAAAGGAACAGAUUGUUCGAAAGUUUCUGAAAUUAUUGACCACCUAUAAACGCGUCAAACAGCGGAAUAACCAACCCGACCGCAACGCUACUAUAUGGACAUUUUUAACGAACGGUAUAUGGCGAACGUCAUUCAAUCAAUUCACCACUAAAUAUUCUGCAAUCGUCGCUCCAAAAUACCUUCGAGGAAACUUUAACGGUAACGGAGGAUAAUGUAUGCGAUUCGCACAGUGCUGGCGCUAAAAAGGGAAAGUGGAUGCAGACAAAACAGACUUCCAGACUGAAUUAUUUUAAUUAAUACUGAUUUGUGGCAAUUAGCCAUUUUUUUAAUAAAAUUAAAACUUCUCUGCGUCAA
Bactrocera neohumeralis is the source of this 8824-nucleotide RNA transcript. It is a transcript of the gene named protoheme IX farnesyltransferase, mitochondrial, with no coding region annotated. The record is from RefSeq and is a predicted model, not a curated record. Lineage: Eukaryota; Metazoa; Arthropoda; Insecta; Diptera; Tephritidae. The transcript has 3 exons.